This is a long non-coding RNA of Mya arenaria, 915 nucleotides long. RefSeq lists it as uncharacterized. Lineage: Eukaryota; Metazoa; Mollusca; Bivalvia; Myida; Myidae. The record is from RefSeq and is a predicted model, not a curated record. The transcript is spliced from 3 exons.
UCGGCGAGGAGUACGUGUCCAAGGACACCACUGAGCCGCCCCGAUGGCAUAACAAGGUGAAGCCAUCGUUCACCAACGGCGUGUUUGUGCAAGAGAUUUAUUCCCAGUUGCCCGGAAAAUGUGACCUUGUCGUGGAUGGCAAGAUGGAGGGAGAUUAUUUGGUCGUGUCAACGUGGGUAAAUGGGGAUCCAUUCGGAACUCCUCGGCCAUUUUUUCAAAAACAACCUCGGAUGUAUGCCGGUACAUCUGUUGAAGUAGUCCAUAUUUUUUUUUUAAUAAAAGCAUUAAUUGAACGUAGUGUUUAAGAGUUGUAUUCAUUGCUCUCAGUUUAAAUUGAUUGCCAGUGAAGUGUAUUAUUGCAAACAUAAUUACGAUUCCCAAGAGUUAAGUCAUAAAUUUUAACUACUAAAUAAGAUUACUACGCGAUCUAUUUGCAGCGGACUUAAACGUACCACUUUUUAAGUAUGUAAACCGUCCAUAUACAUCCGAGGUUGUUUUUGAAAAAAUGGCCGAGGAGCUCCGAAUGAUGGGGAUCCAGACGUAAAGGGGAUAAAAUACUACAAGAAAGUAUAGAUGUCUGACGUGAAAUUCACGUGCACCUGCUCAAGAGAUUGGACAGUACACGUGUGGCCGCAAUAACGCAAAAAGACUUUCGUCAUUUUCGACGAUUACAAGAUGGCACGAUUCAAGUUUUACCUAUUUUAAAAGAUUUUAAAAUCUCAUGUAUUAUUUUGAUAAAAAAAAAAAUCCUCAAUAGGUAAAGAAAAUUAAUUCUUGAACAAAAAUAUAUACUUGAGAAAUACCUUUAAAAAUCGCUAAAUUGUUUUAAUCACAGUUUAUGCACUUAUUCAGAGAUCAAACCAGACUUGCGAUAUUCAGUAUUGAUAAAUACACAUUUAUGUUCAUUCUUUUAUA